Small nucleolar RNA from Ornithorhynchus anatinus (platypus), 138 nucleotides. Lineage: Eukaryota; Metazoa; Chordata; Mammalia; Monotremata; Ornithorhynchidae. The record is from RefSeq and is a predicted model, not a curated record.
UCCCUCUCAGGGUUGCACCUGGAGAGUUCCCUGUACUCUACCAGUCUCAACUGUGGGAGGGAGAGUCAGGCAGAGGCAUAGCCAUUCCAUUCCUAGCUUGGGUAACGGCUAGUGAGUGAAAGACAAUCUGCUACAAGU